AUUUUUUCGAUUGAACCUUCUUUACCGUACUGGCUGUUUACUUGGCCUUUUUUUUGUAAAAAUCCCAUGCUUAUGAUGUUUUCCUUAAAUACAUAAUCUUGUGUAUUCCUUCUGUAAUUUGUACCAAUUUUAAAUUAUUUCUAUAUUUAUGUGACUUUUUCCUUAGUUACUUUGGAUUCCUUGUGAUUACAAUUGGAUCCGGGAUCCUCUUGGUUGAUUUUCGAACUGAUGUCCUAUUUUUUACUUUAUAUAUACACUGUUAUUUCAACCUUCCUUGAUUACCUGCUAUGUAUUUUGCUUUGUUUAUUUUGCCUUGUAUUUUGCCUUACUGGACUGUUUUCUUUUCCUUAUUCUGCCUUGACUAACCGUUUGAACUAGACUCCUUAAUUAAAGGAGUCCAGUUGUCUUAAUUGACACUAAUUGAUUGCUAUUUCCAUGUUCGUGCACUCUUUGCCUAUGUAUUGCUCGCUUUCAAAACUAUAUAAAGAUACGUUUUCCCUCUUUGUAAACACACUUAGAUUCACAUGAACAAAAACCCUUCCAAUUUCAUAGUUUGUUGUGAAUCCCUACCCCUAUUCCCUUCUAUGUGCUUGAGUUAACGUCUUGGCCUGGCAGUAUCCUAAUUACUUCCCAGGCCUUAACAUGAUCCACAAUGGGUCCUAACUCCUAAGUUUGGCUAACAGGCUAGUCAGGGGUGUGCGAGCAUUUCCAAUUUUUGGGCAUGACCACCAGUAUGCCAUGGCUCUCGCUGAAUCCCCCUAUGUACUUACAUUUAUUCUUAUACUCUUAAGUUAUGCCCCACUCUUAUGAGCCUUGCUUUGGGACCUUGAGUUCCCUCAGAACUUGGACAUAUGAGGGGUGGCAUUUCCACACUUCCCUG
This 880-nucleotide long non-coding RNA is filed under the name Nicotiana benthamiana. Its description in RNAcentral is "long non-coding RNA (NBEN_LNC009414)". The record is from RNAcentral. Lineage: Eukaryota; Viridiplantae; Streptophyta; Magnoliopsida; Solanales; Solanaceae.